Molecule: long non-coding RNA, 456 nt
Filed under: Mytilus galloprovincialis (Mediterranean mussel)
Lineage: Eukaryota; Metazoa; Mollusca; Bivalvia; Mytilida; Mytilidae
Source: RNAcentral
UUAUUCGUUGAUGUAACGAAAAAAUAAAGAAAAUGAGUAACUGUGACUUUUCAAUCUUUGAUGUUGUUGAUCUUACAUCAUGGCUCAUAGGUUGUUGUUGCGGUGCAGAAGUAGUUGUUACAGAGGAAAACGUCAGCUGCCGCGGCCAAAUUUAUCUAGUCAGAGUAUUCAUAUAUCUCAUAAUGAAUACAGUAGAAUUCUCAACCGAAGUGUUGACGUUCGACAAUGGAACAAAUCAAACAUUCCUUGGUGCUUACCAAGAAGGAAUAAUUUCUCCAUAUCUUUUUUACUGUUAUGUUGUAAUAAUAGUUGAACUUGUUCUUAUACUUUCAAUUAUGUGCUUUUGCUGUUGGAAAUUUUCAAGUUUGUAAAACCUGUUAUAGAUAUUGGAAUGAUAUAUAUCUUCAAAAUCCUAAUGUUAAUGCUUGAUGUAGUAAUAUUGAUGUUUUCCAUAUU